ACCUAACGAGCUCACCAACAGCAUCACAUCCAAGCUUAGAGGUAAAAUAACUAAAAAAAAUUCAGAGCUUGCGCGAUCAAAUGGGGGAAGGACUGGUUGUGGACAAUGGCAUCCCAAAAUGCGCCAAACUAAAAUGGAGUCUCAUCAUCGGACACCAGGGUCAGCACAGAAAAACCACCAGGUCUUUGAUGUUGAGAUGUAACUGAAUUUGACAUCCUAGCUGGGAGCAGGGGGUGAGGGUUAUGGAAACCUGGGGUACUCGUUGUAGGGGAGAACAGUUUGGGGAUUAAUGAUGUGUGGCAGCGGGGUGAUUGUUUGAUGCUCGUCCAUACGCAUGGAUGAAGGCUGGGAAUCUGCUUGCGUCACUGGUGUCCCUUUUCCCACAAUACUUUGCGUUAGCUCGUUCCGUUUGUCGCUGCUGUCUCCUUGCACUGCUGCAGGAACACCAGUGAAGGGAUGUUUUUUUUUGGAGGGGGUGUUGUCUUUAAUUGUGGCAGACGCUGCUCUGAGUGAGUGAAGAACGGCAAUUACGUAACACUUCAACACAUCAACACAUCAACGGACAAUCCAAUCUGACAGACUGGAGUAUCUUUGUGAGCAGUCUCCAAGGUUUGAGAUCUGUCAGUGUGGCCGAGAAGGGAGCUGAGGGCUGCAAAGAUCUGAUGGAGGCCUUCGCUGCUUGUGUGAAGAGCGCUGCCGAGGGGACGUCAUGAGGAGUCGCCCUCCAGCCUCCAAUGUCCACUGCACUGAGUCCUCCAAGUUCCCAGCAUUCCCUUCUGCACAACAGCACUGGACUGAAUGAUGACAACAACGAUGAUGAUGAUGAUGAUCGUAGCGCAACAUACACCGUGUUGAUUCGGGCUGAGUUUGGGAUCUGGCGGCAGUAACCACAGUUUCCUCCCCCCUCCUGUUUUAGGCUUAUCUGGUGUCCCUGUCUUACCGCCAUCCCUCUUCUCCCUCUACAGCUGACAUGCAGUACAUGGGCAAUUCCAGAGGGCCGAUGGGCUGUGAUGUAAAUUGUCGACUUGAAAUGAAUACUUAUAAAAGGAAAUAAAAGUAUCAAAAAAUUGGUAUAAUAAGAAUCUGUGGUUUCUGGACUCUUGUGUCACCAUUCUGAUGGUAGAUGUAGGAAAAAAGGAACACAGUCACGGUUUUGAGAGUACGGAUAUAUUUUAUCACCACUUGAAAUAGAUCUAAAGAAAACAAUCGUAACGUUUUAGUCCUAUACAACAUAAAGGGGCUGAAACGUGAGCAGUUGAACUCAAAAAGUUUAAACACCACAAAAUAACUGUUUAGUUGGCAACAGAAGAUGUUUGUGCUUCCUCAGUGAGUAUGUUGACCGAAUUGUUAAUCCAAUGUUAAUGAUCACUAGACUAUGAGAGUUAAGAACAGGUAUAUUGAAGUCCUUACUGUCUUUUCUUUCAAAAUAUUUGUUUUUUUCUGAUGUUUCCAAGGUGCAGUCAAAAAAUUUUGAGACUGAGCCCAUAAAAAACAAAAAUCAGACCUGAGUAGUCUCCUUGUGCAGUGAUACUCUGCUCCCAGUGCUCCUGCAGCACUUGUAGCACUCCCUGGAAUUCCUGUUAUGUAAACAUGUCAAACAGCAUCUGCAAUGGGGACUGAAUCUUCUCCAGUGUGUCAAAGCAGCGACUCUUCAAGUUGAAUUUCCUUAUGGGGAGGAGAAAGAAGUCACGGGGAGCUUACAGUGAGUAGGACAGGUGGGGAAGCGAUGAUGAUUUUGCUGUGGCCAAAAAACCCAUGUGUAGUCAGUGCAGUUUGACAGUCCAACCCUGGGGGACCAAGGCUUAGGAUAAGGAUUACUUACUGUGAUACACCAAACAGCCACAGCAUUUAAACCACCUGCCUAACAUUGUGUUGGUGUCACACGUGUCACCAACACAUCUCUGACCUGUUGGAGCAUCGACGCUGGACCUCUGCAGGUGUCCUGUGGUGUCUGGUAAAGGGACAUUGGCAGUGGAUUCUUUGGAUCCUGUUGUUUGCUCGGUGGGGCCUCUGUUAAUCGGGCUUGUUUCGGCAUCUCGUAAAUGCUUGACCUUGAUUGGGAUUUGGGGAGUUUGGAAGCCAGGUCAGCGCCUUGGGCUCUUUGUUGCAAUCUUCCAGCCAUUCCUGGGCAGAUUUUUACAAUGUGGUGCAUUGUCCUGCUGGGGUAGGUAACUCCUAUCAUGGAGUGCAGUUGGCACUGAAGUGGGGAAGUAUAUACACAGUGUUAAGGUGGAUGAUACAUGGCAACGUAACAUCCACCUAAAUGCCAGCACCCAAGGUUUCCAAGCAGAACGUUGUGUUUUAAUAAAAUCCAUGUGAUACUCUUCAUCUGUCAUUGGUUUGAAUGUUAAAGGGUCAAUCUAUAAUUGCAGGACUUUUUGUAGCAUAGUUGACAUUUUUGCUGUUUUCAGGCCGAAAAUCAACAACUAUAGUCAAUCACCACAUGGCAUUUUUUGAGAAAGAUUCUUCUAAAUAUUAUAUAUACAAUUGAGUAAAAUUGACAUGAGAGUUAUUUCUAAAGAUAUUGUAGUAAACCAGUGGACAUGCCAUAAAUCCACACUUGACUCACACACUACUUUAUAUUAAAUAAGUCAGAAAGCCUUGGAGUCUG
This is a long non-coding RNA of Amphiprion ocellaris (clown anemonefish), 2611 nucleotides long. The record is from Ensembl. Lineage: Eukaryota; Metazoa; Chordata; Actinopteri; Pomacentridae.